Molecule: long non-coding RNA, 1814 nt
Organism: Tympanuchus pallidicinctus (lesser prairie-chicken)
Lineage: Eukaryota; Metazoa; Chordata; Aves; Galliformes; Phasianidae
Exons: 3
Source: RefSeq, a predicted model, not a curated record
GGCUACUUCCUGAGAAGGAGUGUUCUAUAGCCAGAGGCCCUAUCACCAGUCAGAUAACUGACGAGAGGUUCAGCUGCGUGGUGCAUGCCCGUGGAUGGAGCUCUGUUUAGACAUGGUGUUUCAGUGCUGUUGUUCAGUCUCGUUGGCGGGCUGUUCUUCCUGCAUCAAAAGGGGAAUGCUCAUUCUGCUGAUGCUGUGCAAGUGUGUUGGAGAGCUGAGAAGACAAGAAGCACAAAGCAAAAUUUAAAGAGGCAUCUAUGAACAUACAACUUCAACCUUGUUAGAAGAGCUCUUAUCAUCAUUAACGUUAGACUGGUGACAUUCAUGGGGAGUGGCAUUAGAUUUUUUCUCAGAAUCUCUUGAGUUGUGUCAUUGAUAUCUGUGGCAUGCCUCUCUAACUGUGGAAUCUACAGUAGAUUGGAAUUUACGUAGAUAUAAAAGCUGUGCUGUGCAGGUAGAACUGAAUGAAAGUCCUUGUUUUACAUCCACAGUACUUGAAGCUCGUGUGGCUGCUUUAAGUUCUGUGAUAAUCAUCACACGAAGGACUUUCACCACUGCUUUAAAGGUCACCUCGGAUUCAUGAAUCACUGCAGGUUAAUGUGUUAUUAAUCAGUCAGAGACCAGCUGAAAACUAUUGGUUCAGCUCCUGUUAGAUGUUUAUAAAGUAAAAUAUAAAGAAGAGAAUCUGUGCUUCUAUGCUAGGAGUUAAAUAGGAGUUCUGCUGCUGUCACUUUCCCUCUUACUCCAUCACCAGCUGCUGCUGCUGCUGGUCUCAGAGCUGUCAUUCUCUGACCUGAGUGGAGAUGCUACUUCUCAUUGACAUAAAACCUGUUGCUGGUCCUUUAAUUUUCAGAUUUUCUCUCCUUUUUCCUUCCUCUCUACCUCCUGCUGUACACUUGCCAUCACCAUCACUCCACUCAGUUUGGAGUGGAGAAGCCUCCUUAUCACACCACUUCCAUCUCCACUCACUCGUUCUCAGGUUUUGCUCAUUACUUAAUGUUUUCUGUUACUUGUGAUUGAGGACACCUUCACCUUUCUGACAUUAAACCCUGCUUCAUCUACAUUGUGUCCGUUUCUAGAGAUUCUUAUGUUUAUGAUAGUAGUGCUGACUGAUAAUUAUGCUUGUGCUGCAGAAAAAGCAUUAAGGUGGAGGACCCCUGUGACUUCUCUUUUAAUUCAUCUUUAUUACUGAAUGAAACAGACUCCUCCAUUUCGAAGAGCUUAUGACUUUUCUCUGACUAAUCUUGUACUUUUCUGCUUGCUUAAUUUGUGGUUUUAGUCUAUUUUUAAAAUGAUAUUUCUAUUGUGUCUUUUAAAAUACGUGUUUAUUACUCUUCUGUGACUCCCAAGUGUAUUGGCUGGCAAAGUCUUGAUGAAUAAAAUUGCUGUCAUGUUAUAGCUAUAAAAAUUCAUUCCUUCCCUGGAAUGAAGCAAGCAAGUUUGAAGGAGUGGAGGAGUGGAGUUAUUUGAAGUAAAAUGGGAUAAAUGCUUAGGAAAAAUGUUUGUAGGAUUCCGUUGCAGUUACAAACUGUUGAUGUAUUAAACUUCCUCGUUCUUCACUGUGCAAAUGAACCAAAGCGUGAAUCUGUACACUAUUGCAGUGAUGUGUGCUGUGUAGAACAUAUCCACUGACUAACUUUGUGAGAGUUGAGCCCUGACACUAGCCUGGAAGUACCAAACAAUUCCAUAUUUACUAGAAAACCUGCCUGCAAGCCAUGGUCCAGUAAGUCAUGCUAAUGACUGAGCUGGUUGUGCUGGAAAGCAACUGGUAUGUGAGGCUUUGUGUCUCAUGGAGCUGUACACUGCUCUGCAGG